Molecule: ribosomal RNA, 301 nt
Filed under: uncultured bacterium
Lineage: Bacteria
Description: partial 16S ribosomal RNA
Rfam family: Bacterial small subunit ribosomal RNA
Source: RNAcentral
CAGCAGCCGCGGGAAUACGUAGGUGGCAAGCGUUGUCCGGAAUUAUUGGGCGUAAAGCGCGCGCAGGCGGAUCAGUUAGUCUGUCUUAAAAGUUCGGGGCUUAACCCCGUGAUGGGAUGGAAACUGCUGAUCUAGAGUAUCGGAGAGGAAAGUGGAAUUCCUAGUGUAGCGGUGAAAUGCGUAGAUAUUAGGAAGAACACCAGUGGCGAAGGCGACUUUCUGGACGAAAACUGACGCUGAGGCGCGAAAGCCAGGGGAGCGAACGGGAUUAGAUACCCGCGUAGUCCCUGUCUCUUAUACA